This is a transfer RNA of Fonticula alba, 81 nucleotides long. It matches the Rfam family "tRNA". From Rfam's summary of the family: Transfer RNA (tRNA) molecules are approximately 80 nucleotides in length. Their secondary structure includes four short double-helical elements and three loops (D, anti-codon, and T loops). Lineage: Eukaryota; Rotosphaerida; Fonticulaceae. The record is from Rfam.
GGUGCGAUGGCCGAGUGGUUAAGGCGGUGGUCUCAAGUUCCACUGAUGAAGAUCUCAUGGGUUCGAAUCCCAUUCGCACCA